RNAcentral lists this ribosomal RNA (514 nucleotides) under uncultured bacterium. RNAcentral's name for it is "partial 16S ribosomal RNA". It matches the Rfam family "Bacterial small subunit ribosomal RNA", at positions 28 to 523 of the family's 1533-position model. The record is from RNAcentral.
GACGAACGCUGGCGGCGUGCCUAAUACAUGCAAGUCGAGCGAACAGAUGAGAAGCUUGCUUCUCUGAUGUUAGCGGCGGACGGGUGAGUAACACGUGGGUAACCUACCUAUAAGACUGGGAUAACUCCGGGAAACCGGGGCUAAUACCGGAUAAUAUUUUGAACCGCAUGGUUCAAUAGUGAAAGACGGUUUCGGCUGUCACUUAUAGAUGGACCCGCGCCGUAUUAGCUAGUUGGUAAGGUAACGGCUUACCAAGGCGACGAUACGUAGCCGACCUGAGAGGGUGAUCGGCCACACUGGAACUGCGACACGGUCCAGACUCCUACGGGAGGCAGCAGUAGGGAAUCUUCCGCAAUGGGCGAAAGCCUGACGGAGCAACGCCGCGUGAGUGAUGAAGGUCUUCGGAUCGUAAAACUCUGUUGUUAGGGAAGAACAAAUUUGUUAGUAACUGAACAAGUCUUGACGGUACCUAACCAGAAAGCCACGGCUAACUACGUGCCAGCCGCCGCGGUAA